ACGGGUGAGUAACGCGUGGGAACAUACCCUUUUCUACGGAAUAGCUCUGGGAAACUGGAAUUAAUACCGUAUACGCCCUACGGGGGAAAGAUUUAUCGGGGAAGGAUUGGCCCGCGUUGGAUUAGCUAGUUGGUGGGGUAAAGGCCUACCAAGGCGACGAUCCAUAGCUGGUCUGAGAGGAUGAUCAGCCACAUUGGGACUGAGACACGGCCCAAACUCCUACGGGAGGCAGCAGUGGGGAAUAUUGGACAAUGGGCGCAAGCCUGAUCCAGCCAUGCCGCGUGAGUGAUGAAGGCCUUAGGGUUGUAAAGCUCUUUCACCGAUGAAGAUAAUGACGGUAGUCGGAGAAGAAGCCCCGGCUAACUUCGUGCCAGCAGCCGCGGUAAUACGAAGGGGGCUAGCGUUGUUCGGAAUUACUGGGCGUAAAGCGCACGUAGGCGGAUAUUUAGGUCAGGGGUGAAAUCCCAGAGCUCAACUCUGGAACUGCCUUUGAUACUGGGUAUCUUGAGUAUGGAAGAGGUAAGUGGAAUUGCGAGU
This 537-nucleotide ribosomal RNA is filed under the name uncultured bacterium. Its description in RNAcentral is "bacterial SSU rRNA". It matches the Rfam family "Bacterial small subunit ribosomal RNA", at positions 102 to 674 of the family's 1533-position model. The record is from RNAcentral.